GCUUAUGGCCAUGUUGAAAGAGCUGUUCUCGUACGAUCACCGAAGUUAAGCAAUAUCGAGCCUGGUUAGUACCUAGAUGGGUGACUACUUGAGAAUAUCAGGCGCUGUAA
Non-coding RNA from Acanthosepion pharaonis, 110 nucleotides. The record is from the annotation of a GenBank genome assembly. NCBI's taxonomy places the organism in Eukaryota, Metazoa, Mollusca, Cephalopoda, Sepiida, Sepiidae.